GUAGAGAGUGCUUCGGGCGAGACCUCGGUCUAAGUCCAUUGGAACAUGGUGUCAUAGAGGGUGAGAAUCCCGUAUGCGACCGUGGCUCGAGCCCAUGUGAAGCCUCUUCGACGAGUCGAGUUGUUUGGGAAUGCAGCUCAAAACGGGUGGUAAAUUUCAUCUAAAGCUAAAUACUGGCUGGAGACCGAUAGCGCACAAGUAGAGUGAUCGAAAGAUGAAAAGCACUUUGGAAAGAGAGUCAAACAGUACGUGAAAUUGUUGAAAGGGAAGCGCUUGCAACCAGACCUGCCCGUAGGCGAUCAGCCGCUGUUCUCAGCGGUGCACUCGCUCUGCGAUCAGGCCAGCAUCGGUUUCGGCGGUCGGAUAAAGGCCUUGGGAAUGUAGCUUCCCUUCGGGGGAGUCUUAUAGCCCUCGGUGUAAUGCGGCCAGCCGGGACCGAGGACCGCGCUUCGGCUAGGAUGCUGGCGUAAUGGUUGUAAGCGACCCGUCUUGAAACACGGACCAAGGAGUCUAACAUCUAUGCGAGUGUUUGGGUGUCAAACCCAUACGCGGAAUGAAAGUGAACGGAGGUGAGAACCCUUAAGGGCGCAUCAUCGACCGAUCCAGAUGUCUUCGGAUGGAUUUGAGUAUGAGCAUAGCUGUUGGGACCCGAAAGAUGGUGAACUAUGCCUGAAUAGGGUGAAGCCAGAGGAAACUCUGGUGGACUCGCAGCGGUUCUGACGUGCAAAUCGAUCGUCAAAUUUGGGUAUA
RNAcentral lists this ribosomal RNA (750 nucleotides) under Xanthoparmelia sp. RNAcentral's name for it is "partial large subunit ribosomal RNA". It matches the Rfam family "Eukaryotic large subunit ribosomal RNA", at positions 151 to 919 of the family's 3401-position model. Lineage: Eukaryota; Fungi; Ascomycota; Lecanoromycetes; Lecanorales; Parmeliaceae. The record is from RNAcentral.